GACGAACGCUGGCGGCGUGCUUAACACAUGCAAGUCGAGCGGUAAGGCCCUUUCGGGGGUACGACGAGCGGCGAACGGGUUGAGUAACACGUGGGUGACCUGCCCUCAGCUCUGGGAUAAGCCUGGGAAACCGGGUCUAAUACUGGAUAUGACUCCAUGACGCAUGUUGUGGGGUGGAAAGCCUUGUGCGGCUGAGGAUGGGCCCGC
This 207-nucleotide ribosomal RNA is filed under the name uncultured bacterium. RNAcentral describes it as "partial 16S ribosomal RNA". It matches the Rfam family "Bacterial small subunit ribosomal RNA", at positions 28 to 234 of the family's 1533-position model. The record is from RNAcentral.